This 406-nucleotide ribosomal RNA is filed under the name uncultured bacterium. RNAcentral's name for it is "partial 16S ribosomal RNA". It matches the Rfam family "Bacterial small subunit ribosomal RNA", at positions 30 to 526 of the family's 1533-position model. The record is from RNAcentral.
AUUGAACGCUGGCGGCAGGCCUAACACAUGCAAGUCGAGCGAGCGGCGGACGUGUGAGUAAUGUCUGUGAAACUGCCGGAUGGAGGGGGAUAACUACUGGAAACGGAAGCUAAUACCGCAUACUAUCAGAUGUGCUCAGAUGUGCUUAGCUAGUAGGUGGGGUAACGGCUCACCUAGGCGACGAUCCCUAGCUGGUCUGAGAGGAUGACCAGCCACACGGAAACUGGGAAACGGUCCAGACUCCGACGGGAGGCAGCAGGGGGGAAUAGUGCCCAAUGGGCGAAAGCCUGAUGCAGCCAUGCCGCGUGUGUGAAGAAGGCCUUCGGGUUGUAAAGCACUUUCAGCGGGGAGGCGUUACCCGCAGAAGAAGCACCGGCUAACUCCGUGCCAGCAGCCGCGGUAAUAC